This 455-nucleotide long non-coding RNA is filed under the name Anas platyrhynchos platyrhynchos (common mallard). Its description in RNAcentral is "lncRNA (ENSAPLG00000030830.1)". Lineage: Eukaryota; Metazoa; Chordata; Aves; Anseriformes; Anatidae. The record is from RNAcentral.
UUCACCAGUUCCUGCUUCUGAGUGUCACUUGCAGCUUCAUGGCCCAUCAAGGGAAGGAUGCUGAAGUGGCUUCCCUCAGAUUACAAUAAACUGCUGCUAGUGCUAUGUAUGCAAGUUGUCUCAGGAAAAAGAGCUGGGGUUUAAACAAAUCCUGAACAGUGUGAGUGGUGAACAUCUUGGGGAGAAAGAACCUUCAUGAAGUGAGGAGGAGGAUGACAGCCUUUGCAGCCCCGUUCCCAGGGGUGUGAUGUUACAACCGACUAAGUACUGCAGAAAGUGCAAGAGAUACAAAUUUCCACCAGGACCAGAAAUGACUAAGCUGACAGGAAUCUUGACUUAAAGGUAAUGACCUAGAUAAGACAAGGUAGUGUUGUUAUUUCCUAUAUAACUCAUAUGAUGUAUAUAAUGAUCUUGAUUUUGCAAAGCUUAGCUAUUACAAGAAUAAUUUUCAUCUG